GUCACAGGAGCCAAAUACAUUAACUAAGAAGGUCUGAUCACACAUCUUUCACCCAAGGUGUUGCUGAAAGGAAAUAAGAAAGGGCAGGUAUGAGAGAAAACCAGUGCUUUUAGAUUUGUAGCACCUCUGCUUCCUUCUAUGAUGGUAGCUGCUUAGACCUAUACAUGUGGGAUAAAUCACAGCAGUUAAUUUGUAACCUUUGAUUUAUUGCAAUAUACUGGGUCAACACCUGAGAAAGCACCAGGGGGUAGUGUUCUUUUUAAGUCAACAUGUCUAACUGGUUGUUUUGGUGACUUGCGGAACCCUCUCAGUGGAUCUUUGCAGCACAAUAUCAGUUCUGUGGGGUUUCAGGAUGGAAAACAUUGUUGUAAUGAAUACUAAAUCUAAAAUUUUAAAAACCAUUCCUCCUCUCUGGGUGAACUUUUGGAGUAAAGACAAGAAUCAGGAAAUGGUGGAGUCUGAUCCCAACCAAAAAUAUGAGGCCGAAUUAGUGUGGAGUUGGUUCCCUGCAAAGCAGGCAUCCCAUUUAUUAACAGGAAGUCAAACAUCUAGGUCCUAAUUUGCACUCAAAAGUCAAGGUGGGCCCAGGCCACCCAAGGGAGGGCAUCCUUGGGGGAAAUAACACCAUCUAGUGGCUGAAGAUACAGGUUCUGGCUGCCCAGAUCCCAGCCCUCUGGUCAGGUGAGUUCCUUUACCUCUCUGAAGCUUUUAUUUGCUAGUCUACCAAAUAGAAAUCUCAAAAUCUUUCCUCAUAGGAUUGUUAGGUGAAUUUUAAGAUGCAAUGCUUAAAGCACUAUCUCAAGGUCAGAAAUAUAGGGGGUGCACCAUUGACGUCAUGCUAACCUGUGAGUGGUAGCAACAGUAACAGCAGCAGCUUUGUGGAAAAAAAAUAAUGCAAAGAAAAGAGCAAAAAGAGCCUAUGGCAAGACUUGAUGAAGGCCCAGACCAAAGCAAGGCAGUGGGGUGGCCUUAGACCAUGCUUAGAAAGGAGCAGGAGAGGGGGCUUGGCGGGAGAGA
RNAcentral lists this long non-coding RNA (1017 nucleotides) under Marmota monax (woodchuck). Lineage: Eukaryota; Metazoa; Chordata; Mammalia; Rodentia; Sciuridae. The record is from RNAcentral.